GCUGCCCCAAGAGGCUGCAGGUGAGGUGUGGCUGCUGUGUCCCGUGUGUCAGCAGGUGGCCGAGGGGAGAGGCUGUGUUCUGACCUGCGGAUGUCUGAAUGCUUAGUAGCCUAGCAUU
This 118-nucleotide small nucleolar RNA is filed under the name Meriones unguiculatus (Mongolian gerbil). Its description in RNAcentral is "Small nucleolar RNA SNORA17 (ENSMUGG00000012665.1)". It matches the Rfam family "Small nucleolar RNA SNORA17". From Rfam's summary of the family: snoRNA ACA 17 belongs to the H/ACA family of snoRNAs and is predicted to guide pseudouridylation of the 28S rRNA at positions U4659 and U4598. It shares the same host gene together with ACA43. The record is from RNAcentral. Lineage: Eukaryota; Metazoa; Chordata; Mammalia; Rodentia; Muridae.